UGGGGAAUAUUGGACAAUGGGCGCAAGCCUGAUCCAGCCAUGCCGCGUGAGUGAUGAAGGCCCUAGGGUUGUAAAGCUCUUUCACCGGUGAAGAUAAUGACGGUAACCGGAGAAGAAGCCCCGGCUAACUUCGUGCCAGCAGCCGCGGUAAUACGAAGGGGGCUAGCGUUGUUCGGAUUUACUGGGCGUAAAGCGCACGUAGGCGGACUAUUAAGUCAGGGGUGAAAUCCCGGGGCUCAACCCCGGAACUGCCUUUGAUACUGGUAGUCUUGAGUUCGAGAGAGGUAAGUGGAAUUCCGGGUGUAGAGGUGAAAUUCGUAGAUAUUCGGAGGAACACCAGUGGCGAAGGCGGCUCACUGGCUCGUUACUGACGCUGAGGUGCGAAAGCGUGGGGAGCAAACAGG
Molecule: ribosomal RNA, 404 nt
Filed under: Actinomycetes bacterium
Lineage: Bacteria; Bacillati; Actinomycetota; Actinomycetes
Description: Actinobacteria bacterium partial 16S ribosomal RNA
Rfam family: Bacterial small subunit ribosomal RNA
Source: RNAcentral